Molecule: ribosomal RNA, 514 nt
Filed under: uncultured Chloroflexota bacterium
Lineage: Bacteria; Bacillati; Chloroflexota
Description: bacterial SSU rRNA
Rfam family: Bacterial small subunit ribosomal RNA
Source: RNAcentral
GGGCAAUGGGCGGAAGCCUGACCCAGCAACGCCGCGUGGAGGAAGACGGCCUUCGGGUUGUAAACUCCUUUACGGGGGAAGAGGAAGGACGGUACCCCGAGAAUAAGUCACGGCUAACUACGUGCCAGCAGCCGCGGUAAUACGUAGGUGACAAGCGUUAUCCGGAAUUACUGGGCGUAAAGCGCACGCAGGCGGCGCAUUAAGUCUGGCGUGAAAUCUCCCGGCUUAACUGGGAGGGGUCGUUGGAAACUGAUGUGCUUGAGGCGGUGAGAGGGGUGUAGAAUUCCCGGUGUAGUGGUGGAAUGCGUAGAUAUCGGGAGGAAUACCAGUGGCGAAAGCGGCACCCUGGCACUAGCCUGACGCUCAUGUGCGAAGGCGUGGGGAGCGAACGGGAUUAGAUACCCCGGUAGUCCACGCGGUAAACGAUGAAUACUAGGUGUGGGUGGAGUGAAAUCCAUCUGUGCCGCAGCAAACGCGUUAAGUAUUCCGCCUGGGGAGUACGGCCGCAAGGCUA